Non-coding RNA from Picea glauca (white spruce), 88 nucleotides. The record is from Rfam. Lineage: Eukaryota; Viridiplantae; Streptophyta; Pinopsida; Pinales; Pinaceae.
GGAGAGAUGGCUGACCGGACCAAAGUGGCGGAUUGCUAAUCCCUAGUAUGGAUUAUCUGUACCGAGGGUUCGAAUCCCUCUCUCUCCG